GUUUAAUGUUAAUUGUCUUAGUGGUUGUUUCGGUGAAUGAUGGCUCUCUUUUCUUGCAGGGUGACGGCAAACUUCUUCAGAGAGGGAGUCUCCCACGCACGGCUUUUCUUUAUCAGGACCGAAGACGCCUUUGAUGAAGGACUGGACCCACUGCUGGAUUUGAGGAUAUCAAAGAACCCUCCACCCCCUCAAGUGCUGAGAUUCCUCUGCCAAAGAGAGGGUGGAAGAUUCCCACUCCAC
Non-coding RNA from Lepisosteus oculatus (spotted gar), 240 nucleotides. The record is from RefSeq and is a predicted model, not a curated record. NCBI's taxonomy places the organism in Eukaryota, Metazoa, Chordata, Actinopteri, Semionotiformes, Lepisosteidae.